GUGGGGUAGUGGCCUACCAAGGCGACGACGGGUAGCCGGCCUGAGAGGGUGACCGGCCACACUGGGACUGAGACACGGCCCAGACUCCUACGGGAGGCAGCAGUGGGGAAUAUUGCGCAAUGGGCGGAAGCCUGACGCAGCGACGCCGCGUGGGGGAUGACGGCCUUCGGGUUGUAAACCUCUUUCAGCAGGGACGAAGCUCUCGGGUGACGGUACCUGCAGAAGAAGCACCGGCCAACUACGUGCCAGCAGCCGCGGUAAUACGUAGGGUGCAAGCGUUGUCCGGAAUUAUUGGGCGUAAAGAGCUCGUAGGCGGUUUGUCGCGUCGGCUGUGAAAACCCGGAGCUCAACUCCGGGCCUGCAGUCGAUACGGGCAGACUCGAGUGUUGCAGGGGAGACUGGAAUUCCUGGUGUAGCGGUGAAAUGCGCAGAUAUCAGGAGGAACACCGGUGGCGAAGGCGGGUCUCUGGGCAACAACUGACGCUGAGGAGCGAAAGCGUGGGGAGCGAACAGGAUUAGAUACCCUGGUAGUCCACGCCGUAAACGUUGGGCGCUAGGUGUGGGGGCCAUUCCACGGUCUCCGUGCCGCAGCUAACGCAUUAAGCG
RNAcentral lists this ribosomal RNA (606 nucleotides) under uncultured Actinobacteridae bacterium. RNAcentral's name for it is "bacterial SSU rRNA". It matches the Rfam family "Bacterial small subunit ribosomal RNA", at positions 252 to 866 of the family's 1533-position model. The record is from RNAcentral. Lineage: Bacteria; Bacillati; Actinomycetota; Actinomycetes.